Molecule: small nuclear RNA, 105 nt
Organism: Gracilinanus agilis (Agile Gracile Mouse Opossum)
Lineage: Eukaryota; Metazoa; Chordata; Mammalia; Didelphimorphia; Didelphidae
Source: RefSeq, a predicted model, not a curated record
UGCUCAAUCCAGCAGCACUUAUAUAAAACUGAAAUGGUUUAGAGAAGAUUAAAAUGAACCCUGUGCAAGGAUAACAUGCAAAUUUGUCAUUGUUCUGAUUUUUUU